RNAcentral lists this ribosomal RNA (449 nucleotides) under uncultured bacterium. Its description in RNAcentral is "partial 16S ribosomal RNA". It matches the Rfam family "Bacterial small subunit ribosomal RNA", at positions 29 to 523 of the family's 1533-position model. The record is from RNAcentral.
AACGAACGCUGGCGGCAUGCCUAACACAUGCAAGUCGAACGAGAUCUUCGGGUCUAGUGGCGCACGGGUGCGUAACGCGUGGGAAUCUGCCCUUUGGUUCGGAAUAACAGUUGGAAACGACUGCUAAUACCGGACGAUGACGAAAGUCCAAAGAUUUAUCGCCAGAGGAUGAGCCCGCGUAGGAUUAGCUAGUUGGUGUGGUAAAGGCGCACCAAGGCGACGAUCCUUAGCUGGUCUGAGAGGGUGAUCAGCCACACUGGGACUGAGACACGGCCCAGACUCCUACGGGAGGCAGCAGUGGGGAAUAUUGGACAAUGGGCGAAAGCCUGAUCCAGCAAUGUCGCGUGAGUGAUGAAGGCCUUAGGGUUGUAAAGCUCUUUUACCCGGGAUGAUAAUGACAGUACCGGGAGAAUAAGCUCCGGCUAACUCCGUGCCAGCCGCCGCGGUAA